GCUCCUGUAACUCAGUUGGAUAGAGUAUGGGUCUUAUGCUUCGCGAGCCAGCCCAGAGUCCGGGGUUCGAGCCCCCGCAGGAGCA
Molecule: transfer RNA, 85 nt
Filed under: Chlamydomonas reinhardtii
Lineage: Eukaryota; Viridiplantae; Chlorophyta; Chlorophyceae; Chlamydomonadales; Chlamydomonadaceae
Also listed under: 2 other names
Rfam family: tRNA
About the family: Transfer RNA (tRNA) molecules are approximately 80 nucleotides in length. Their secondary structure includes four short double-helical elements and three loops (D, anti-codon, and T loops).
Source: Rfam by way of RNAcentral